GUUGUAUGGUUAAGUGACUAAGCGUACACGGUGGAUGCCUGGGCAGUCAGAGGCGAUGAAGGACGUACUAACUUGCGAUAAGCGCAGAUAAGGCAGUAAGAGCCGUUUGAGUCUGCGAUUUCCGAAUGGGGAAACCCAACUGCAUAAGCAGUUACUGUUAACUGAAUACAUAGGUUAACAGAGCAAACCGGGGGAACUGAAACAUCUAAGUACCCCGAGGAGAAAAAAUCAACCGAGAUUCCGGUAGUAGCGGCGAGCGAACCUGGAUUAGCCCUUAAGCACUCGGUGAAGUAGGUGAACAAGCUGGAAAGCUUGGCGAUACAGGGUGAUAGCCCCGUAACCGACGCUUCAUCGAGCGUGAAAUCGAGUAGGGCGGGACACGUGAUAUCCUGUCUGAAUAUGGGGGGACCAUCCUCCAAGGCUAAAUACUCCUGACUGACCGAUAGUGAACCAGUACCGUGAGGGAAAGGCGAAAAGAACCCCUGUGAGGGGAGUGAAAUAGAACCUGAAACCGUGUACGUACAAGCAGUAGGAGCACCUUCGUGGUGUGACUGCGUACCUUUUGUAUAAUGGGUCAGCGACUUAUAUUCAGUGGCAAGGUUAACCGUAUAGGGGAGCCGUAGCGAAAGCGAGUCUUAACUGGGCGCUCAGUCUCUGGAUAUAGACCCGAAACCGGGUGAUCUAGCCAUGGGCAGGUUGAAGGUUGAGUAACAUCAACUGGAGGACCGAACCGACUAAUGUUGAAAAAUUAGCGGAUGACUUGUGGCUAGGGGUGAAAGGCCAAUCAAACUCGGAGAUAGCUGGUUCUCCCCGAAAGCUAUUUAGGUAGCGCCUCGGACGAAUACUACUGGGGGUAGAGCACUGUUAAGGCUAGGGGGUCAUCCCGACUUACCAACCCUUUGCAAACUCCGAAUACCAGUAAGUACUAUCCGGGAGACACACGGCGGGUGCUAACGUCCGUCGUGGAGAGGGAAACAACCCAGACCGCCAGCUAAGGUCCCAAAGUAUUGCUAAGUGGGAAACGAUGUGGGAAGGCUCAGACAGCUAGGAUGUUGGCUUAGAAGCAGCCAUCAUUUAAAGAAAGCGUAAUAGCUCACUAGUCGAGUCGGCCUGCGCGGAAGAUGUAACGGGGCUAAGCAAUACACCGAAGCUGCGGCAAUAUCUUUUAGAUAUUGGGUAGGGGAGCGUUCUGUAAGCCGUUGAAGGUGAAUCGUAAGGUUUGCUGGAGGUAUCAGAAGUGCGAAUGCUGACAUGAGUAACGACAAAGGGGGUGAAAAACCUCCUCGCCGGAAGACCAAGGGUUCCUGUCCAACGUUAAUCGGGGCAGGGUGAGUCGACCCCUAAGGUGAGGCCGAAAGGCGUAAUCGAUGGGAAACGGGUUAAUAUUCCCGUACUUCUGACUAUUGCGAUGGGGGGACGGAGAAGGCUAGGUGGGCCAGGCGACGGUUGUCCUGGUUCAAGUGCGUAGGCUUGAGAGUUAGGUAAAUCCGGCUCUCUCUAAGGCUGAGACACGACGUCGAGCUGCUACGGCAGUGAAGUCAUUGAUGCCAUGCUUCCAGGAAAAGCCUCUAAGCUUCAGAUAGUCAGGAAUCGUACCCCAAACCGACACAGGUGGUCGGGUAGAGAAUACCAAGGCGCUUGAGAGAACUCGGGUGAAGGAACUAGGCAAAAUGGUACCGUAACUUCGGGAGAAGGUACGCUCUUGAUGGUGAAGUCCCUCGCGGAUGGAGCUGACGAGAGUCGCAGAUACCAGGUGGCUGCAACUGUUUAUUAAAAACACAGCACUGUGCAAAAUCGCAAGAUGACGUAUACGGUGUGACGCCUGCCCGGUGCCGGAAGGUUAAUUGAUGGGGUUAGCGCAAGCGAAGCUCUUGAUCGAAGCCCCGGUAAACGGCGGCCGUAACUAUAACGGUCCUAAGGUAGCGAAAUUCCUUGUCGGGUAAGUUCCGACCUGCACGAAUGGCGUAAUGAUGGCCACGCUGUCUCCACCCGAGACUCAGUGAAAUUGAAAUCGCUGUGAAGAUGCAGUGUACCCGCGGCUAGACGGAAAGACCCCGUGAACCUUUACUACAGCUUGACACUGAACAUUGAACCUACAUGUGUAGGAUAGGUGGGAGGCUAUGAAGACGUGACGCCAGUUGCGUUGGAGCCGUCCUUGAAAUACCACCCUUGUAUGUUUGAUGUUCUAACUUAGACCCAUUAUCUGGGUUGAGGACAGUGCCUGGUGGGUAGUUUGACUGGGGCGGUCUCCUCCCAAAGAGUAACGGAGGAGCACGAAGGUGGGCUAAUCACGGUUGGACAUCGUGAGGUUAGUGCAAUGGCAUAAGCCCGCUUAACUGCGAGAAUGACGGUUCGAGCAGGUGCGAAAGCAGGUCAUAGUGAUCCGGUGGUUCUGUAUGGAAGGGCCAUCGCUCAACGGAUAAAAGGUACUCCGGGGAUAACAGGCUGAUACCGCCCAAGAGUUCAUAUCGACGGCGGUGUUUGGCACCUCGAUGUCGGCUCAUCACAUCCUGGGGCUGAAGUCGGUCCCAAGGGUAUGGCUGUUCGCCAUUUAAAGUGGUACGCGAGCUGGGUUUAGAACGUCGUGAGACAGUUCGGUCCCUAUCUGCCGUGGGCGUUGGAAGAUUGAAGGGGGCUGCUCCUAGUACGAGAGGACCGGAGUGGACGAACCUCUGGUGUUCGGGUUGUGUCGCCAGACGCAUUGCCCGGUAGCUAAGUUCGGAAUUGAUAAGCGCUGAAAGCAUCUAAGCGCGAAGCGAGCCCUGAGAUGAGUCUUCCCUGA
This 2782-nucleotide ribosomal RNA is filed under the name Vibrio cholerae. RNAcentral describes it as "partial 23S ribosomal RNA". It matches the Rfam family "Bacterial large subunit ribosomal RNA". The record is from RNAcentral. Lineage: Bacteria; Pseudomonadati; Pseudomonadota; Gammaproteobacteria; Vibrionales; Vibrionaceae.